Molecule: ribosomal RNA, 640 nt
Filed under: Aspergillus japonicus
Lineage: Eukaryota; Fungi; Ascomycota; Eurotiomycetes; Eurotiales; Aspergillaceae
Description: eukaryotic LSU rRNA
Rfam family: 5.8S ribosomal RNA (bases 252-406)
Source: RNAcentral
GGAAGUAAAAGUCGUAACAAGGUUUCCGUAGGUGAACCUGCGGAAGGAUCAUUAACGAGCGAGGGUCCUAGUGGCCCAACCUCCCAACCCUUUGUUUACUGAACCUAUGUUGCUUCGGUGGGCCCGUCUCUGGACCGCCGGGGGUUCGCCGCGAGGCGUCCCCUGGCCAGCGCCCGCCGGUGGCCAACCAUUAAAACUCUUGAAUGAAUCGUGUCCUCUUGUCUAAGUCAUGAUUAUUAAAUCAAAAACAAAACUUUCAACAACGGAUCUCUUGGUUCUGGCAUCGAUGAAGAACGCAGCGAAAUGCGAUAAGUAAUGCGAAUUGCAGAAUUCCAGUGAGUCAUCGAAUCUUUGAACGCACAUUGCGCCCUUUGGUAUUCCGAAGGGCAUGCCUGUUCGAGCGUCAUUAUCACCCCUCAAGCCCUGUGCUUGGUGUUGGACGGUCGGUCGCGCCCCGCGACCCCUCCUAAAAACAAAGACGGCGGCCUGUGGUUCCCCCGGUACACUGAGUGCUUCGACACACGUAUCGGACGAGGGCGCCCAGGUCCCGGUCCUCUCCUUAACCGGAACUAUUUUACAAGGUUGACCUCGGAUCAGGUAGGAAUACGCGCUGAACUUAAGCAUAUCAAUAAGCGGAGGA